UCGUUGUCAUGUUUCUGUUAUUCUCAAUCGUGUGGCUAUGCAAAGUGUGUUUAGCUGAGCAUUCAGAUUGAAGUGUAAUAGCACGUGUGUUGUGGUUUAAGUAGGUUUGCUCGAAUCUGAUAUCGCAAAAUUGCGAGAAGGAAGUGCCAAUGACGUCCAAACAAAGAAAAAAAUAGAAUCAAAUUUUAGCGAUUUGAAUACGAUCUCCUUCCGUAAAUUCAAAUGAAGAAUCCAAAACAUAAAUUUCACCAAAGAAAUCUUCAUCAUUUACUACUUGUUUUCAGUACUUUCAGUCAAUUCAGUAGUAAUUCGCCCCUUGGACAGACAGACAGACCAACAUUCGGUUUUAUAUACAAAUAUAGAUACCAUCAGACAUACAGUAAACUUGAAACAUAAAAAAAGUACAGAAAAAAGCGGUAGACAUUUUAGAAAUUGAUGUUGCGUAUUUCAGAAAAUAAUUAUGUUUUUCUCUUUGCCUUUGUGUACGUUCAUUUUGAAUGAUGUGAUUUAAGCGUGCGUCGGAAAAAAAUACUAGAAAAAGGUUUUGCUAAACGUAACACAACCAGAAAGUUACACCGUGGAAAUAUGAUUAUUCAACUUGAUAUGCGUGGUGUGUGUCCAAAACGCCAAAAAGAGAUUAAAAAAAACAAUGCAAGCGUUAAACAAAAGAAGUAUAAUUUCUGGUUUUGUUUAUAUAAUAAAUUUUGAUUAGAACAUAAGAGCUUGGACGCAGGUCGAGAGAACCUUUAUGAUGAUGGAUUAGGCCGCUGAAGAAAAACCCACCCAAUUUAUUUGCAUACAGAAAUGAACUGUCAAAUGAAAGAGCACAAAAAUGGAAGCCAUCCAUAGCAUGACCAACACUGUGGGUGUGUAUUUUGGCAUCAUCUCUUUCGAUUUUUCAUAUGUAUUUUUCCGCAUGUUCGCGUCAAUCUGAGAAAUAAGAAAAAAAAUCGUGCCAAUUGGACAAAACAAAAAACUCGUGCCUAAUUUCAUGGGCAAAUACAUUCCCUCCAUCGACACCAUCGAAGAAAGCUGUGUCAAUCGCUAUGUGCUAUGUACGCAAGUGCAGCGUUUCUGUGUUACAUAUUACUGUAUGUGGCAAUGAUGAGCUGUGUCGAUUUUGGUUGACCUUUGUGCGCGACAAAGCGAAAAACUAUCGGCAAAUAGUAGCAACAGCAACAAAAAUAUAAUAGCACAAGUAAUAGCAAUAGUUGAUGAGUAUAACAACAUUUUCUAACACAGUCAUUUUAGUUUUAAACUAAUUUCAUUGCCCUGAUGUAAUGAUGUAACUAUUAUAACUGACAAUUUCUAUACUUGCACGUAGCAUUCACACUAAAAUGUGAAUCGACUGAGAGAACCCACGCACAUCGGGCAUACACCGUGUGGUCGGAUCGGUUCAUUUAAGUUUGUUUCGGUCUCUUACGCUAUGUAUUAGCCCAUAUACCUAUGGAUAUCUGACUUCAUGGCUGGUCUUUACGACCAAACGUUAAGCUUAAAACUAUUACCUCUGCUCUAUUCCAGUUGAUACGAAUAUUUUCAGCUUGCAAUUUUACCAAACAUCCAUUUUCAUGCCAAAACAUUUUGUUUAAUUAACCACAUUUUGUUUAAUUAACCAUUUUUUGUUUAAUUAGCAACAAAUACGUAGAAUGCAGCGUAUAGCAAACAGUGUUAAUAAAUCGGAAUUGAAUGGGCCGUCGAAUUUACAUUACAACAAAUUUACUUGACUUCCAUGAGAUUUUCAAUUUAAAUGUCUUGUGCCACAGAGUCAACUGAGUAAAUCAGUCAUUUAUGAAAUAUUCAACUGAGAUAACAGUGUUUGAACCUUCAUUUUUUUCAUAAAUGAAGUGUCGAAAAAAUCGAUACAAAAUCAACUCCAAACAACAGCUCUGAAUUUCAUGUAAUGCUUUGAACAUCAAAAUCAGCAAGCGAUUAUACGGUGAGGGCGAGUGUACAAACAGAAACAGAUAUGUGACUAAAUCAGCUGGAGAAUGAAGAGAAAAUAAGAAAACCGCGUUGAAAUGUUUACUGAUACGGACCACAGUCAUACAACAACAGACAAUCAAAUGGUCACUUAUAUAUUUCGCCGAUAAAUUUCCACUUAUAUUCGAUACUCAAACUCCGAGUUACCUCAUUUAGUUGGGCUAUUCCAAAUCAAGACGCUAACAUUAAGAGUCGGGCAAUGUUACUGUCGCUUUGCAGUUGUGAGCAAAUCGUUCAAAUGUUCAUACACAACUCACAGGCGCACUGUAAUAUCAUCCAGUGAAAUAAUGAAAUCGCCGCUUAUAAGUGGACCACAUCGAGUGUGAACCACUCAACGGUAAAAUCAUAAUGAGCAGACCAACCUCUCAUAAGCAAAUCAGACGUUGACCGCGACUGCGUUAUUACAUUAUGUAAAAAAUAUGACUAAACAAAAUGAUCUGGGCGAAUGAGCGCGGGCAUUCAUUAAACGCUGUAUGUAGAAAACAUUUUCGAGUUUUUGGAGGAAAUCACCAAUAAUUUUGGUAUGGAGUUGAUGUGAUAGAGAUGCUGAUGGAAAAUAGUACAAGCCCAGGGUCAUUGAAUUUGAUUUGAUUUGUUUGCUUCUGUCUUUCUCUCCUUUUUGGUCAAAAGGCAAACAGCGCUGCGCAAUUAUUAAUAGGCGAUGGUAGAAUAGUUGUGGCACUUAUUCCCAGCUGUGCGUUUCGGAUGUUGAAAUUUGUGUAUUUCUUCUUCUAGGCGAAGAAAGCGUCGGUGGUGAAAAGGAAAAAUUGCAUCGAAAAGUGCGAGUUUGUGUGUAAAGCAAAUUUGAAAUCAUCAAGCCCUUUUUGGGUCAUCAAUCAAUCACAUCGAGCAUGAAAGAAUGAACAUUGAACAACGAAUGACAUCGCUAAUUGAACAAUUAAGCUAUAUUAAACGGAUCAAUGGCGUGUAUUUCUUCUUAUAAGAAGAAAUAAAUACAUAAAAAAUGAUUUGAUGAAUCAAGAAUGAAGUUUGAAGGUGUGGCUUAUACUUGUAUCAUAUGCUCAUGAUGCAAAAAAUGCAAGCAAUAAUACCAAGCCACUUCACGGGUGAGAAGUACGAAAAUAUACAUCGUAAUUGAAUUAAUACCUAACUCAAAUCAAUAAAUUUUGUCGUGUCACCAUAUGGCAAUACCAUAGCCACUUAUCGCUUACAUCCCUGGCAAUUUGAAUUGAAAUUCGAAUUUGAAUUUGAAUUUGAAUUCCUAUAGUCGUCAAUUAUUUAUUAAUCGAAUAAGCCAUCGAUACAUGUCCGAAAUGUAAAUGUAAUGGAAAUACAUGUAUGUAGGAAAACG
Long non-coding RNA from Sitodiplosis mosellana (orange wheat blossom midge), 3292 nucleotides. RefSeq lists it as uncharacterized. The record is from RefSeq and is a predicted model, not a curated record. NCBI's taxonomy places the organism in Eukaryota, Metazoa, Arthropoda, Insecta, Diptera, Cecidomyiidae. The transcript has 2 exons.